This 1368-nucleotide unclassified non-coding RNA is filed under the name Leishmania donovani. RNAcentral's name for it is "gene:LdHU3.15.1720(CDS-product:2OG-Fe(II)_oxygena se_superfamily_putative)". The record is from RNAcentral. Lineage: Eukaryota; Euglenozoa; Kinetoplastea; Trypanosomatida; Trypanosomatidae.
CGUCCUCAGAUGAAGCGGUGGCGGACAGCAAACCUGUUCACCCCAGCGGAGGUGCAGCACGCCUUUGCGGCGCUGCACCGGAAUGCGGAAACUCUCUACGGUGUGUCCGGCACGAGCAGCCCACUCCGCCCCUUCGUUCGUCGACGUGGUGGCGCGCGUGGGCACCGCCGCGAUCACAUCGAGCUGCCGCUGCACCACAUGUACGAGGCCAGCACUGUGUACGAGCAGUUGCCCGUCGAGGUGAGGCUGAUAUGUGGUGGCCUACACGAGGCCGCUCUCAGCUACGCGCAGGAAGCGCUGCGGGAGCGGGGCGUCUCCUCCGCCGCCCGCGACGAGAUCCUCAGCAACUUGGGCCGGAAAUCCGUGCUGCGGGUGCUACGGUACCCAGCAGGCUCUGGAUGUCGACCACACGUUGAUCCUGGCUUGUGCACUGCCUUACUCGUGGGGUCGGCAGGUGGCCUGGAGGUGAGCACAACCGACGCGGUGCUGACGCCCUUCGCGAGCCGGCCGGGGUGCAACACGGCUCAUGUGACCUCCUCGCCAACAUCCAUGCGCGGUGAAGCGUCGAAUAUGCCGGGAACGCUUCCGCACUGGGAGCCGGUCCUGACCGCGCACACCGGAGCGGCCGUCGUCAUGGCAGGAAAUAUGCUCGGGGCGGUGUCGGGAGGCGCUCUGCCCGGUGUGUUGCAUCGGGUGCGGCGGGACUGGGUCGCCGAAAUACCGCGGACAGAUGGACAGCGCAGCCCAUCUCUGCACGCCGCAUGUGUCGUGGGUGGAGCGGAUGCGGAAACGCACGCAGGCAGCGGGGUCUUCCGCUUCAACGUCAUCGUCGAGUUGCGACCGGCAUACGCGAAGCGCUGGUACACUGCGACGUCGGGGCAGCCGCCGUUGCCAUCCGCUUCAUCUCCGUCAUCACUGGCAUGAGGGGUGGAGGGAGAAUGACGAGACGCACACGGGGCCAGUCGUCACCGUCUCUCUAUCUGUUACGACAUCCGACGUUCGCCUCACAGAGAGCCCAACGGCAGACAAGCAUAGACAUACGCGUACACGCAUGACGUCACGCGCGCCUCGCCCCGAUGAUGUCGUAUCGUUCGGUGGCACCGCUUGCACAACCUGCUCCCUUGCCCACCAGCUCCAUGAGUAGCGGCGGGUCUUCACGCUUUCUCAGAUCGCUCUAGCCGGCGCACAUUUUUGGUGCCCUUUUCUUGUUUUAGUUUUUCAAUGGAGAAGGGUGAUGCUGUCAAGCCACACUCAUCCGCGUGUGGCUGCCUCCCUCUCUCUCUCUGUUGAGCCCGACUCUCCUCUUCCCAUCCCUCCCUCCUUUGUUUUUUUUCUCUGCCUGCCUGCCUUCCUGCGUGCGUGCGUAAG